Molecule: ribosomal RNA, 89 nt
Filed under: Brevibacillus brevis
Lineage: Bacteria; Bacillati; Bacillota; Bacilli; Caryophanales; Paenibacillaceae
Also listed under: 7 other names
Description: partial 16S ribosomal RNA
Rfam family: Bacterial small subunit ribosomal RNA
Source: RNAcentral
UUAUUGGAGAGUUUGAUCCUGGCUCAGGACGAACGCUGGCGGCGUGCCUAAUACAUGCAAGUCGAGCGAGUCUCUUCGGAGGCUAGCGG